UUCCGGUUGAUCCUGCCGGACCCCACCGCUAUCGGGGUGGGACUAAGCCAUGCGAGUCGGCGCCCUCCAGCCAACGGGGAGGGCGCGGCGGACGGCUCCGUAACACGUAGCUAACCUACCCUCAGGACGGGAAUAACCCCGGGAAACUGGGGCUAAUUCCCGAUAGGUGAGGAGGCCUGGAAUGGUCCCUCACCGAAAGGGCUCUGGAACCAUGCUUCCAGAGCCGCCUGAGGAUGGGGCUGCGGCCGAUCAGGUAGUUGGUGGGGUAACGGCCCACCAAGCCUAUAACCGGUACGGGCCGUGAGAGCGGGAGCCCGGAGAUGGGCACUGAGACAAGGGCCCAGGCCCUACGGGGCGCAGCAGGCGCGAAACCUCCGCAAUGCGCGCAAGCGUGACGGGGCUACCCCGAGUGCCGCCCGCUGAGGGCGGCUUUUCCCCAGUGUAAACAGCUGGGGGAAUAAGGGGAGGGCAAGUCGGGUGUCAGCCGCCGCGGUAAUACCCGCUCCCCGAGUGGUGGGGACGAUUAUUGGGCUUAAAGCGUCCGUAGCCGGCCUGGCAAGUCCCUCGUUAAAUCCAACGGCCUAACCGUUGGACUGCGGGGGAUACUGCCAGGCUAGGGGGCGGGAGAGGCCGGCGGUAUUCCCGGGGUAGGGGUGAAAUCCUAUAAUCCCGGGAGGACCACCAGUGGCGAAGGCGGCCGGCCAGAACGCGCCCGACGGUGAGGGACGAAAGCCGGGGGAGCGAACCGGAUUAGAUACCCGGGUAGUCCCGGCUGUAAACGAUGCGGGCUAGGUGUUGGCGCGACUACGAGUCGCGCUAGUGCCGCAGGGAAACCGUUAAGCCCGCCGCCUGGGGAGUACGGUCGCAAGACUGAAACUUAAAGGAAUUGGCGGGGGGGCACCACAAGGGGUGAAGCUUGCGGUUCAAUUGGAGUCAACGCCGGG
Molecule: ribosomal RNA, 944 nt
Filed under: uncultured archaeon
Lineage: Archaea
Description: bacterial SSU rRNA
Rfam family: Archaeal small subunit ribosomal RNA
Source: RNAcentral